RNAcentral lists this ribosomal RNA (481 nucleotides) under uncultured bacterium. RNAcentral describes it as "partial 16S ribosomal RNA". It matches the Rfam family "Bacterial small subunit ribosomal RNA", at positions 28 to 523 of the family's 1533-position model. The record is from RNAcentral.
GAUAAACGUUUGCGGCGUGCCUGAUGCAUGCAAGUCGAACGAUUUGAUUUUUCGCAAGAUUUAUCAGAUAGUGGCGAACGGCUGAGUAACGCGUAAGUAACCUGCCCUUAAGUGGGGGAUAACUUGUCGAAAGACAGGCUAAUACCGCAUGUGCUAGUAAUCGACAGAUUAUUAGUAAAGCUUUUGCGCUUGAGGAGGGGCUUGCGUCUGAUUAGCUUGUUGGUAGGGUAAUGGCCUACCAAGGCGAUGAUCAGUAGCUGGUCUGAGAGGACAACCGGCCAGACGGGGACUUGGAUACGGCCCUGACUCCUACGGGAGGCAGCAGCAAGGAAUUUUGCGCAAUGGGCGAAAGCCUGACGCAGCAACGCCGCGUGAGGGAUGACGGCCUUCGGGUUGUAAACCUCUUUCAGCAGGGAAGAAGCGAAAGUGACGGUACCUGCAGAAGAAGCACCGGCUAACUACGUGCCAGCAGCCGCCGUAA